This 776-nucleotide long non-coding RNA is filed under the name Bemisia tabaci. Its description in RNAcentral is "lncRNA ENSSSA1UGG009818". Lineage: Eukaryota; Metazoa; Arthropoda; Insecta; Hemiptera; Aleyrodidae. The record is from RNAcentral.
AUGAUGUAUCUCUUCUUGGUAGCAACAGGUCUAAGCUUUCUGAGUGUGUUUCAUUCAGCUCUUUUGGAAUGGAUCCUGAAUGUAUGCUUUCCCAAACCUGUAAACACACCGAUCAGAGUUGAAAUCAACGCGAUCAAAGCAGAGUUACAAACGGUUUCCAUGGUAGACGAAUUUCCAAAAUAUGCUAGGUUGCAGCGGAAGUUAAAUGCUCUUAAAGAGCAGCUCUCAACUGCUCCAAAUAAAAUAACUGUUGCCCUGAAUCGCAUGAUGAUGGACCUGUUUCUUCAAGGCAUCUUCGUGUGCACAAAUAUUUUUUGCUUCUACAUGUAUCGUUCAGUUUCUGUCUUUAAACUUCCAGUAGAGUGGUUGGAGCCACAUCCGAUCCCACAUCUUGUCAGCUGGCCUUCAAACGAAGCAGGUGGGAUCAGCUUCCUCUUUUGGUUUACAGUUUCUAGCCAAGUUUUUCGGCUUCUAAAAACUCGGUGAAAGUAUAUGUCCAGUCUUGGACUCUGGAAUGUCCAGCACUAUCUCAAAGCCUUAAAAGAUCCUUUUGGCUUCUGUCAGAUAGAGAUUUGCAAUCAGGGCUUGUGCAGAACUGUUCCUCCCAUGAUGUCAACUGUUAUGUACAUGUAAGUAACGAUUAAUUGAUUUCAAUACAGAAUUUAUUUGAGAAACAGAAUAUAAGAAUCCAUUAAUUACUGUAUGAUGCCUCAGAGGAAAUCCCAAUAAGUCUUUUGAUGCUACCAAAUCUCUUCUGAUGAAGUAUGAACCUUCUG